UACGAGGGGGGCGAGCGUUGUUCGGAAUUAUUGGGCGUAAAGGGUGCGUAGGCGGUUUGGUAAGUCUUGUGUGAAAUCUACAGGCUCAACUUGUAGUCUGCACGAGAAACUGCCGGGCUUGAGUGUGGGAGAGGUGAGUGGAAUUCCUGGUGUAGCGGUGAAAUGCGUAGAUAUCAGGAGGAACACCUGUGGCGAAAGCGGCUCACUGGACCAUAACUGACGCUGAUGCACGAAAGCGUGGGUAGCAAACAGG
Molecule: ribosomal RNA, 253 nt
Filed under: uncultured bacterium
Lineage: Bacteria
Description: partial 16S ribosomal RNA
Rfam family: Bacterial small subunit ribosomal RNA
Source: RNAcentral